UACGGGGGAUGCAAGCGUUAUCCGGAAUCAUUGGGCGUAAAGCGCCUGUAGGUUGUUUAAUAAGUCUGUUGUUAAAGACUAGGGCUUAACCCUAGGAAAGCAAUGGAAACUACUAGACUUGAGUAUGAUAGGGGUAGAGGGAAUUUCUAGUGUAGCGGUGAAAUGCGUAGAUAUUAGGAAGAACACCGGUGGCGAAGGCGCUCUACUGGAUCAUUACUGACACUCAGAGGCGAAAGCUAGGGUAGCCAAAGGGAUUAGAUACCCCUGUAGUCCUAGCCGUAAACGAUGGAUACUAGAUGUUGCGCUUAUUGUGCAGUGUCGUAGCUAACGCGUUAAGUAUCCCGCCUGGGGAGUACGAUCGCAAGGUUA
RNAcentral lists this ribosomal RNA (369 nucleotides) under uncultured phototrophic eukaryote. RNAcentral's name for it is "SSU rRNA". It matches the Rfam family "Bacterial small subunit ribosomal RNA", at positions 524 to 896 of the family's 1533-position model. The record is from RNAcentral.